UUUAAACGUAAAUGUUUUGCUGAGUUAGUAUUAGUUAUGUUCUUGAAAAUUAAAGAAUUUGGCGGUAUUUUAGUCCACUCAGAGGAACCUGUUUUUUAAUUGAUAUUCCACGAUUUAAUUUACUUAUUUUGAAUGGUUUGUAUAUCGUCGUAACUUGAAUAUUUCUUAAGAAUUUUAAUAUUCAGAAUUCAGGAAAAUGAAUAAAAUCAGAUCAAGAUGCAGCUUAUAAGUAAGAAAUGAUGGGUUACAAUAAAUUUAUUUAUACGGAUUUUUACUUUAAAAUUAAAAUUAAGGUGGAUUUGAUAGUAAUUUUAUAUUUAUAUUUAAGAUGAUUUUGGCUCUGAAAUAUGC
Molecule: ribosomal RNA, 351 nt
Filed under: Airaphilus sp. BYU CO772
Lineage: Eukaryota; Metazoa; Arthropoda; Insecta; Coleoptera; Silvanidae
Description: partial 12S ribosomal RNA
Source: RNAcentral